GCUGGGUGUAGUGGCACACACCUGUAAUCCCAGCGGCUCAGGAGGCUGAGGCAGGAGGAUCACGAGUUCAAAGCCACCCUCAGCAACUUAGUGAGGCCCUAAGCAAUUCAGUGAGACCCUGUCUUUA
Molecule: small RNA, 127 nt
Filed under: Marmota monax (woodchuck)
Lineage: Eukaryota; Metazoa; Chordata; Mammalia; Rodentia; Sciuridae
Source: RNAcentral